RNAcentral lists this small nuclear RNA (90 nucleotides) under Fukomys damarensis (Damara mole-rat). Lineage: Eukaryota; Metazoa; Chordata; Mammalia; Rodentia; Bathyergidae. The record is from RNAcentral.
AUGCUCACUUUGGCAACACAUACACUAAAAUUGGAACAAUACAGAGAUUACCAUGGCCCCUGUACAAAAAACAAAAGGGAAUACAUUUUU